UAGAGUGCUGGUAGCGCGCCGCGCGGCCUA
This 30-nucleotide small RNA is filed under the name Bombyx mori (domestic silkworm). RNAcentral describes it as "ovarian small RNA-22040". The record is from RNAcentral. Lineage: Eukaryota; Metazoa; Arthropoda; Insecta; Lepidoptera; Bombycidae.